GAUGAACGCUGGCGGUAUGCUUAACACAUGCAAGUCGAACGGACUCUUCGGAGUUAGUGGCGGACGGGUGAGUAACGCGUGAGAAUCUGGCUUUGGGUUCGGGACAACCACUGGAAACGGUGGCUAAUACCGGAUGUGCCGAGAGGUAAAAGAGAAAUUGCCUGAAGAUGAGCUCGCGUCUGAUUAGCUAGUUGGUGAGGUAAAGGCUCACCAAGGCAGCGAUCAGUAGCUGGUCUGAGGGGAUGACCAGCCACACUGGGACUGAGACACGGCCCAGAAGCCUACGAGAGGAAGCAGUGGGGAAGUAUCCGCAAUGGGCGAAAGACUGACGGAGCAAUACCGCGUGAGGGAAGAAGGCUCUUGGGGUGUAAAACUCUUUUCUUAGGGAAGAACAAAAUGACGGUACCUAAGGAAUCAGCAUCGGCUAACUCCGUG
This 435-nucleotide ribosomal RNA is filed under the name uncultured bacterium. RNAcentral's name for it is "partial 16S ribosomal RNA". It matches the Rfam family "Bacterial small subunit ribosomal RNA", at positions 28 to 507 of the family's 1533-position model. The record is from RNAcentral.